UCCAUCUUCCCAGGAUUAUCAUCAUCCACCUCCAUCUUCCCAAGAUUAUCAUCAUCCACCACCAUCCCAGGAUUAUCACCGUCCACCAUCUUCCCAAGAUUACCAUCCUCCACCACCUUCCCAAGAUUAUCAUUCUCCACCACCUUCCCAGGAGUACCAUCCUCCACCACCUUCCCAAGAUUAUCAACCUCCUCCACCUUCCCAAGAUUUCCAUCAUCCUCCACCUGCUAGAUCAGACAGUUCUUAUUCUGAGCCCUACAACCACCAGCAAUACUCACCAGAUCAGUCACAGAACUUAGGUCCUAAUUACCCUUCUCAUGAAACUCCCUCUUCUUACUCUCUUCCCCAUUUUCAAUCUUAUCCAAGUUU
This 369-nucleotide long non-coding RNA is filed under the name Lathyrus oleraceus (garden pea). Its description in RNAcentral is "Pisum sativum (pea) long non-coding RNA (PSAT_LNC004256)". Lineage: Eukaryota; Viridiplantae; Streptophyta; Magnoliopsida; Fabales; Fabaceae. The record is from RNAcentral.